Molecule: long non-coding RNA, 974 nt
Organism: Vicia villosa (hairy vetch)
Lineage: Eukaryota; Viridiplantae; Streptophyta; Magnoliopsida; Fabales; Fabaceae
Exons: 3
Source: RefSeq, a predicted model, not a curated record
UGAUUCAAUCUCUCUUUCUCCCUCUUUAUCGUCUAACCUUUUCCCCCUCUAUGUUCUCUCUUUCUUUCAAAACCCUAAAUUGUCGCUGCCGCCAUCGCCAUAUCUCCACCACCGUGUACAUCCAGUUCACCGUUUAUCUUCCCAGGUUCACGUUUUUAUACCAGACUGCACAAAUCUGAUGGUUAGGGUUUCAUUAUCCAUGUUGUGUUAUGUUGAUCCUGUAAUUGCUAGAGAGGAGGAGAUAGAAAAGCUUAAGACAAUUGAUAGUGUCUUCUUUGAAUUAUAGGCAAAUAUGUAAAGCACUUUGUUGCAUCAAGAUACCAAUUCUUUUAUAAUCAUCAACCUAUGAGGUUUCGUCGAAGCUUUGUAGUAUGAAUAGUCUUGAAUAAAGUCCUCAUCUACUGCUAUUAGAGAUGAGUGGGAGUCCGUCUCUACAAUUCUACCUUUUCCCAUGACGAUUAUGGUAUCCGAGUUUUUGACUAUGAUUCGUGAUUCAUUAUUCAUGAAGAUAUUAAAUAUACGGGAAAUACUUGAUUUGAUUUGUUAAUGGUUGUUUGGAGUUGGAUCUUUGGGUUUUAUCUAUUGUGUGUUGUUUUCCAUUACUAAUUUCUUGACGAGAUAUGCGAUGACAAUAAUUUUCACUUGAUAGGCUCCAGCAAAUUAUGGGCUCAUGCCGUACCGCAUGCCGCCAAUGCUGAAACAAACUGGUUACCCCAAUAUGAUGGAAAGAUUAAACAAAUGCACUCUACAAUCUACAUAUGCAAGCGAAACAUUGUUUUCCUUUUAGAGCUUCUGCUGAUUUUUUUCUUGAUGAUGCUCUAAGAGAACUCUUGCUUCUGCAGGAUCUAACAAGGCUCUCGCUGACACUUUUAAGAAUGUUGUAGAGCCACAUAUUUAUUUUAUAAUCCAUAAUUUUAUAUAUGUUGAUGUGAACUGUUUUAAAUUCAUCAUUUACUUAUGUGUUUCUUCAUUUA